AGAGUUUGAUCCUGGCUCAGGAUGAACGCUGACAGAAUGCUUAACACAUGCAAGUCAACUUAAACUUCGGUUUGGGUGGCGGACGGGUGAGUAACGCGUAAAGAACUUGCCUCACAGAUAGGGACAACAUUUGGAAACGAAUGCUAAUACCUGAUAUUAUGAUUUUAGGGCAUCCUAGAAUUAUGAAAGCUAUAUGCGCUGUGAGAGAGCUUUGCGUCCCAUUAGCUAGUUGGAGAGGUAACGGCUCACCAAGGCGGUGACGGGUAGCCGGCCUGAGAGGGUGGACGGUCACACUGGGACUGAGACACGGCCCAGACUCCUACGGGAGGCAGCAGUGGGGAAUAUUGCACAAUGGGCGCAAGCCUGAUGCAGCGACGCCGCGUGAGGGAUGGAGGCCUUCGGGUUGUGAACCUCUUUCGCCAGUGAAGCAGGCCUGCCCCUGGUGGGUGGGUUGACGGUAGCUGGAUAAGAAGCGACGGCUAAAUACGUGCCAGCAGCCGCGGUAAUACGUAUGUCGCAAGCGUUAUCCGGAAUUAUUGGGCAUAAAGGGCAUCUAGGCGGCCAGACAAGUCUGGGGUGAAAACUUGCGGCUCAACCGCAAGCCUGCCCUGGAAACUGUUUGGCUAGAGUGCUGGAGAGGUGGACGGAACUGCACGAGUAGAGGUGAAAAUUCGUAGAUAUGUGCAGGGAAUGCCGAUGAUGAAGAUAGUUCACUGGACGGUAACUGACGCUGAAGUGCGAAAGCUGGGGGAGCGAACAGGAUUAGAUACCCUGGUAGUCCCAGCCGUAAACGAUGAUUACUGGGUGUGGGCAUGAAGAGUGUCCGUGCCGAAGCUAAUGCGAUAAGUAAUCCCGCCUGGGGAGUACGGCCGCAAGGCUGAAACUCAAAGGAAUUGACGGGGACCCGCACAAGUAGCGGAGCAUGUGGUUUAAUUCGAAGCAACGCGAAGAACCUUACCUAAGCUUGACAUCCCUCGGACAGGUGUUUAAUCACACCCCUUCCUUCGGGACUGAGGUGACAGGUGGUGCAUGGUUGUCGUCAGCUCGUGUCGUGAGAUGUUGGGUUAAGUCCCGCAACGAGCGCAACCCUUGUCUUUAGUUGCCAGCAUUCAGUUGGGCACUCUAGAGAGACUGCCAGGGAUAACCUGGAGGAAGGUGGGGAUGACGUCAAAUCAUCAUGCCCCUUAUGCUUAGGGCUACACACGUGCUACAAUGGGUGGUACAGAGGGUUGCCAAACCGUGAGGUGGAGCCAAUCCCUUAAAGCCAUUCUCAGUUCGGAUUGUAGGCUGAAACUCGCCUACAUGAAGCUGGAGUUACUAGUAAUCGCAGAUCAGAAUGCUGCGGUGAAUGCGUUCCCGGGUCUUGUACACACCGCCCGUCACACCACGGGAGUCGGAAACACCCGAAGCCGAUUAUCCAACCGCAAGGAGGAAGUCGUCGAAGGUGGCGUCGAUAACUGGGGUGAAGUCGUAACAAGGUAACC
RNAcentral lists this ribosomal RNA (1484 nucleotides) under uncultured bacterium. RNAcentral's name for it is "bacterial SSU rRNA". It matches the Rfam family "Bacterial small subunit ribosomal RNA". The record is from RNAcentral.